This is a long non-coding RNA of Xyrauchen texanus (razorback sucker), 383 nucleotides long. RefSeq lists it as uncharacterized. The record is from RefSeq and is a predicted model, not a curated record. The transcript has 3 exons. Lineage: Eukaryota; Metazoa; Chordata; Actinopteri; Cypriniformes; Catostomidae.
UGUGUGAACUUUGAACAGUGCCCCUGUAGGUGGGAAUUGGUAUUGCAAGGUACACACAUUCGCGCCAAAUAACACACAUUUCCCCGCUAAAUCAUACACAUUUCCCCGCCAUAUCGUACAAUUGGCCGUAAACGUCGGCUGUUUCGAGAAGAUUCGCCGCGUUUGGAGAAGUGAUUAACAUCGGAGCUGCAACAGUUCUUCAGCAUCAUGGAAUUUACCGAAAACUGAAAAGGGACUAAAUCCUCUCAGAGAUACAGAACAGCACGUGAAGUUGGACAAAGAUUAAGACAUACAUGGAUAUAUAUAUAUAUCAAUCACACCAAAGGGCGAGGUGUAUUUGCAAAAGGCUUUAUGUUGAAAGGUUCAUUCAUUCUUGAAUCCAG